ACCAGCAGGCUGGAUGCAGGGCUGGUAGGUGAGGCCCUGUGCUGGCAUUGGGGUGGAUAGGUGAAUCCACCAUCACAUCCCUUCUUAGGAGCUACAGAAAGCAAAAAGAAAAAAAGCGGCCCGUAGAGCCGCUCCAAGCUUUUCUUAGGAAGUAAUGGGGUUGUUCAGAGCCUGGCAAUGGAAAUUGAAAAGGACCACAGUCGGUAAAGAUGCUGAUGGGACUGGGCUGCUGUUUUGGUCUGAGUAGCUCUGCAAAAGCUGGCACAUGCUGCAGGAAAUCACUGGUGCAUCUGCCCAGGAAACAUCAAGCUGACUUAAAUAUUCUCCUGCUUUAAGCUGCUUAUCUUCAAAAUCUACUUCUGGAACAGGGCUUUGUCACCAGAUGACUUAAGCACAAAACACCACAUGUAUUAUGCUGUCAUCAGAGCCAUCCUCGGUGAUAAUUGCAACAUGCCAGCAAUAAAAACGCCCAGCCCUAGCUCCCAUGGCCUACUUCUGAAAGGAACUGCAUGGCUUUACAAUUAUCACUCAGACUGGCAGGGAGAAGGGGAGGGUGGGAGAGCAGCAGGGGAAGAAAUCUUUUCAAUCUGGAUGAACAGAUCAGCUGCCUUGGACACCAUGCUGUUCUGACCAAGCCAGGGUUCCUGUGACAUCAUGCCCCACUCUCAUACUGUCAGCAAAAUUCCCUGAGGACCACAGCUGCCACUGCCUACAAAUGAGUGUUUCUGCUCACUCCAUUCAAGAAUGCAUGCCAAUUCCUCCUUUCUGCGAGGCUGCUCAUCUCCUUUCUAUCCUCUAGAGAUGCUGAGUUCAGUGAGUAUAGGGAUGCUGGAAGAACAUGUUUUCAUGAUAGAGGACCACAGGAGAGGUUAACAAAACCCAACCAUCUCUAGAGCUUCGCUAUUAGAGAGCCACAGAUAGGUUCUAGGUGAGCAGAGAUGUAGGUCUCUUACCUUUGAGUCAGCAGGAAGAGGCACUGAUAGGUCAGAGCACAGCAGCUUCCUCCAUUUUUCCAGGGUGCUAUUCGAAGAUUAUUACUUAUCAUUUGUACCAGAAGGUGAUAGAGUUUGGGGAGUACUCAUAAAAUAAUGAGGGAAAGACUCAACCUUUAUCUGUCCACCUAUCUAUCUAUCUAUCCAACAAUGUAAAAUUACAAAGAAUCUUAUUUCCUGGAAAAUAGAGGAAGCAUGUCAGGUAUCUAAUUUCUGCCUCAAUAAUUUACUUUAUGAUCUAUGUUAAGACUGUAACUGUCCAAAUAACCAG
Budorcas taxicolor (takin) is the source of this 1263-nucleotide long non-coding RNA. RefSeq lists it as uncharacterized. Lineage: Eukaryota; Metazoa; Chordata; Mammalia; Artiodactyla; Bovidae. The transcript is spliced from 4 exons. The record is from RefSeq and is a predicted model, not a curated record.